AUUGAACGCUGGCGGCAUGCUUUACACAUGCAAGUCGAACGGUAACAGGCCGCAAGGUGCUGACGAGUGGCGAACGGGUGAGUAAUGCAUCGGAACGUGCCCAGUCGUGGGGGAUAACUACUCGAAAGAGUAGCUAAUACCGCAUACGAUCUAUGGAUGAAAGCGGGGGACCGUAAGGCCUCGCGCGAUUGGAGCGGCCGAUGUCAGAUUAGGUAGUUGGUGGGGUAAAGGCUCACCAAGCCAACGAUCUGUAGCUGGUCUGAGAGGACGACCAGCCACACUGGGACUGAGACACGGCCCAGACUCCUACGGGAGGCAGCAGUGGGGAAUUUUGGACAAUGGGCGCAAGCCUGAUCCAGCAAUGCCGCGUGCAGGAAGAAGGCCUUCGGGUCGUAAACUGCUUUUGUACGGAACGAAACGGCUCUGGUUAAUACCCGGGGCUAAUGACGGUACCGUAAGAAUAAGCACCGGCUAACUACGCG
Molecule: ribosomal RNA, 482 nt
Filed under: uncultured bacterium
Lineage: Bacteria
Description: partial 16S ribosomal RNA
Rfam family: Bacterial small subunit ribosomal RNA
Source: RNAcentral